Molecule: ribosomal RNA, 214 nt
Filed under: Klebsiella pneumoniae
Lineage: Bacteria; Pseudomonadati; Pseudomonadota; Gammaproteobacteria; Enterobacterales; Enterobacteriaceae
Description: partial 23S ribosomal RNA
Rfam family: Bacterial large subunit ribosomal RNA
Source: RNAcentral
AGGUAGAGAAUACCAAGGCGCUUGAGAGAACUCGGGUGAAGGAACUAGGCAAAAUGGUGCCGUAACUUCGGGAGAAGGCACGCUGGUGUGUAGGUGAAGCCCCUGCGGGUGGAGCUGAGACCAGUCGAAGAUACCAGCUGGCUAGCAACUGUUUAUUAAAAACACAGCACUGUGCAAACACGAAAGUGGACGUAUACGGUGUGACGCCUGCCCG